Molecule: ribosomal RNA, 440 nt
Filed under: uncultured bacterium
Lineage: Bacteria
Description: partial 16S ribosomal RNA
Rfam family: Bacterial small subunit ribosomal RNA
Source: RNAcentral
CCUACGGGUGGCUGCAGUGGGGAAUAUUGCACAAUGGGGGAAACCCUGAUGCAGCGACGCCGCGUGAGUGAAGGAGUCUUUCGGUAUGUAAAGCUCUAUCAGCAGGGAAGAAAAUGACGGUACCUGACUAAGAAGCUCCGGCUAAAUACGUGCCAGCAGCCGCGGUAAUACGUAGGGGGCAAGCGUUAUCCGGAUUUACUGGGUGUAAAGGGAGCGUAGACGGCAUGGCAAGUCUGGUGUGAAAGCCCGGGGCCCAACCCCGGAACUGCAUUGGAAACUGGCGGGCUGGAGUACAGGAGGGGCAGGCGGAAUUCCUAGUGUAGCGGUGAAAUGCGUAGAUAUUAGGAGGAACACCAGUGGCGAAGGCGGCUUGCUGGACUGUAACUGACGUUGAGGCUCGAAAGCGUGGGGAGCAAACAGGAUUAGAUACCCGAGUAGUC